AGCGAACGCUGGCGGCAGGCCUAACACAUGCAAGUCGAACGAACCUUUCGGGGUUAGUGGCGGACGGGUGAGUAACACGUGGGAACGUGCCUUUAGGUUCGGAAUAACUCAGGGAAACUUGUGCUAAUACCGAAUGUGCCCUUCGGGGGAAAGAUUUAUCGCCUUUAGAGCGGCCCGCGUCUGAUUAGCUAGUUGGUUGAGGUAAUGGCUCACCAAGGCGACGAUCAGUAGCUGGUCUGAGAGGAUGAUCAGCCACAUUGGGACUGAGACACGGCCCAAACUCCUACGGGAGGCAGCAGUGGGGAAUCUUGCGCAAUGGGCGAAAGCCUGAUGCAGCCAUGCCGCGUGAAUGAUGAAGGUCUUAGGAUUGUAAAAUUCUUUCACCGGGGACGAUAAUGACGGUACCCGGAGAAGAAGCCCCGGCUAACUUCGUG
RNAcentral lists this ribosomal RNA (434 nucleotides) under uncultured bacterium. RNAcentral's name for it is "partial 16S ribosomal RNA". It matches the Rfam family "Bacterial small subunit ribosomal RNA", at positions 29 to 507 of the family's 1533-position model. The record is from RNAcentral.